GAGGGUAUAGCCCAGUGGUUAGAGUGCAUGCUUACCAUGUGCAAGGUGCUGGGUUCAAUCCCCAGUACCUCCA
Molecule: transfer RNA, 73 nt
Filed under: Camelus bactrianus (Bactrian camel)
Lineage: Eukaryota; Metazoa; Chordata; Mammalia; Artiodactyla; Camelidae
Also listed under: 1 other name
Rfam family: tRNA
About the family: Transfer RNA (tRNA) molecules are approximately 80 nucleotides in length.
Source: Rfam by way of RNAcentral